GACAGAGGUGCCAAGCGUUAGGCGGAAUCACUGGGCUUAAAGCGUGUGUAGGCGGAUGCCUAAGUACCUUGUGAAAUCCCACGGCUCAACCGUGGAACUGCUGGGUAUACUGGGUGUCUUGGGUCAGCUAGGGGUUGCCGGAACAAAUGGUGGAGCGGUGAAAUGCGUAGAUAUUCGGAAGAACACCAGUGGCGAAGGCGACUCACUGGACACGUAUUGACGCUGAGGUGCGAAAGCGUGGGGAGCAAACAGG
This 253-nucleotide ribosomal RNA is filed under the name uncultured bacterium. RNAcentral's name for it is "partial 16S ribosomal RNA". It matches the Rfam family "Bacterial small subunit ribosomal RNA", at positions 524 to 776 of the family's 1533-position model. The record is from RNAcentral.